GACGAACGCUGGCGGCGUGCUUAACACAUGCAAGUCGAACGGAAAGGCCCUGCUUUUGUGGGGUGCUCGAGUGGCGAACGGGUGAGUAACACGUGAGUAACCUGCCCUUGACUUUGGGAUAACUUCAGGAAACUGGGGCUAAUACCGGAUAGGAGCUCCUGCUGCAUGGUGGGGGUUGGAAAGUUUCGGCGGUUGGGGAUGGACUGGCGGGUUAUCAGCUUGUUGGUGGGGUAGUGGCGUACUAAGGCUUUGACGGGUAGCCGGCCUGGGAGGGUGACCGGCCACAUUGGGACUGAGAUACGGCCCAGACUCCUACGGGAGGCAGCAGUGGGGAAUAUUGCACAAUGGGGGGAAGCCUGAUGCAGCAACGCCGCGUGCGGGAUGACGGCCUUCGGGUUGUAAACCGCUUUCGCCUGUGACGAAGCGUGAGUGACGGUAAUGGGUAAAGAAGCACCGGCUAACUACGUG
Molecule: ribosomal RNA, 468 nt
Filed under: uncultured bacterium
Lineage: Bacteria
Description: partial 16S ribosomal RNA
Rfam family: Bacterial small subunit ribosomal RNA
Source: RNAcentral